Molecule: long non-coding RNA, 1137 nt
Organism: Salvelinus sp. IW2-2015
Lineage: Eukaryota; Metazoa; Chordata; Actinopteri; Salmoniformes; Salmonidae
Exons: 5
Source: RefSeq, a predicted model, not a curated record
AUUCACUUGAAAAAUUAGAACCUUCACCUAUGUUAUUCCUUAAUUGAAUUGUAUUUUUUCAGAAUGUCAAAAGACUGAAGAAAAGCGGGCAGAGCUGGACAUCAACGACUGUGCUUCAGGAGUAGGUUACUGAGGUGCAGCAGUGGCCUGAAGCCCCACUUUAGUCAGACAGAGCAGACGGGGCAUCUCCAGAAGAAGAUUGAGGGACUUUACCUCAGCGUGAAACAGAGUAAACACUACCUCUACCAUUUGACAGACGGCAAAAAGAGGAGGCAUCAGAUUCGGAGACAAAUUGUUGAGGACAAAGCAGCCUUGACAGCUUCCAUUGCUAAACUUCACAAGCAGCCGGCAGAGUUUAGACUCCCCCCAGUGGAUGAGCUGCUCAAUACUGAUAACUUUGUGUGGCCAUGGGAGAGACUUGGUACCAGCAAUCUUGGACAGACUGAUGGUGAAAAGACUCCCGGAGGAAGAGAGCAUCCUGGUGUAGGAGAUGAAGAGGCACUGGGGGAGCCUACAAAGAGCAGUGGGAUCUCUGGAGGCAAUGCCCCUCCAGCUGCAAGAUCAGAGUAAUUUGAGGCAAUGCGUGGAGUUGUCACAGGGAGGGCCUUCUCUGAAGAUUAAGUGAACUGACACAAGACCAAGUAAACACCAGGAAUACCUACCACAUACUGAUUCUGGGAGUAGGGGAUAUAUAUCACUCUGAUAUAGAUGACAACUCAGAUGAAGAUAGAAGUCCUAUUGCUGAGAGCUCCGAUGACGACUGCUAUGCUUUCUGAAAUCGUACACCACCCCUGCCUCUUUCUCUCAGUCUCGCUCUCUCCUGCAGGAGAGGGAGAAGGCCACCACCACCUCCAUUGGGAGCAGCCUGGUCUCCUGACGUUGACCCCUGACCCCUCACCUUCUGAACCCAUCCAGGGAAAUGUAAUUUGCCUGAUGACGCACUAGUGGAGAAGGAAUGUGUCGUUUCAGCUCAUUUGUUGCCAUGUUUCCUCACCUCCUCUCCUCCGUUUUUCUGGUCCUAGACUAUGGCGACAUCAUCAGCAACUCAGACUGUUGGUUGAGGGCCUCUUUACUGAGGAAUGUGGUUGUUCUUCAUGAUAGUUUUUUUUCUGUGCUGUCGUGAUUGGGAUUUUUGUG